Molecule: ribosomal RNA, 440 nt
Filed under: uncultured bacterium
Lineage: Bacteria
Description: partial 16S ribosomal RNA
Rfam family: Bacterial small subunit ribosomal RNA
Source: RNAcentral
CCUACGGGGGGCAGCAGUGGGGAAUAUUGGACAAUGGGCGCAAGCCUGAUCCAGCCAUGCCGCGUGAAUGAUGAAGGCCUUAGGGUUGUAAAAUUCUUUCACCGGGGACGAUAAUGACGGUACCCGGAGAAGAAGCCCCGGCUAACUUCAUGCCAGCAGCCGCGGUAAUACGAAGGGGGCUCGCGUUGUUCGGAAUUACUGGGCGUAAAGCGCACGUAGGCGGGUCGAUUAGUUGGUGGUGAAAGCCCAGGGCUCAACCUUGGAACUGCCAUCAAUACUGUCGACCUGGAGCAUAGUAGAGGUUAGUGGAAUUCCAAGUGUAGAGGUGAAAUUCGUAGAUAUUUGGAGGAACACCAGUGGCGAAGGCGACUGACUGGGCUAUUGCUGACGCUGAGGUGCGAAAGCGUGGGGAGCAAACAGGAUUAGAUACCCUAGUAGUC